CAGUCGCCGCGGUAAUACGUAGGUGGCGAGCGUUGUCCGGAUUUAUUGGGCGUAAAGGGAGUGUAGGCGGUCUUUUAAGUCUGAUGUGAAAGCCCACGGCUCAACCGUGGAGGGUCAUUGGAAACUGGGAGACUUGAGUGCAGAAGAGGAGAGUGGAAUUCCACGUGUAGCGGUGAAAUGCGUAGAGAUGUGGAGGAACACCAGUGGCGAAGGCGACUCUCUGGUCCGUAACUGACGCUGAGGAGCGAAAGCGUGGGGAGCGAACAGGAUUAGAGACCCCUGUAGUCCCUGUCUCUUAUAC
Molecule: ribosomal RNA, 301 nt
Filed under: uncultured bacterium
Lineage: Bacteria
Description: partial 16S ribosomal RNA
Rfam family: Bacterial small subunit ribosomal RNA
Source: RNAcentral